CCUACGGGGGGCAGCAGUGAGGAAUAUUGGUCAAUGGACGAGAGUCUGAACCAGCCAAGUAGCGUGAAGGAUGACUGCCCUAUGGGUUGUAAACUUCUUUUAUAUGGGAAUAAAAUGUUCCACGUGUGGGAUUUUGUAUGUACCAUAUGAAUAAGGAUCGGCUAACUCCGUGCCAGCAGCCGCGGUAAUACGGAGGAUCCGAGCGUUAUCCGGAUUUAUUGGGUUUAAAGGGAGCGUAGGUGGAUUGUUAAGUCAGUUGUGAAAGUUUGCGGCUCAACCGUAAAAUUGCAGUUGAAACUGGCAGUCUUGAGUACAGUAGAGGUGGGCGGAAUUCGUGGUGUAGCGGUGAAAUGCUUAGAUAUCACGAAGAACUCCGAUUGCGAAGGCAGCUCACUGGACUGCAACUGACACUGAGGCUCGAAAGCGUGGGGAGCAAACAGGAUUAGAUACCCCUGUAGUC
Molecule: ribosomal RNA, 460 nt
Filed under: uncultured bacterium
Lineage: Bacteria
Description: partial 16S ribosomal RNA
Rfam family: Bacterial small subunit ribosomal RNA
Source: RNAcentral